GACUGUGCAAGGUAGCAUAAUCAUUAGUUUUUUAAUUGAAGACUUGAAUAAAUGGUUAAAUGAGAUAUUUAUUGUUUCUUUAUAUUUUUUAUUUAAUUUUAUAUUUUAGUUAAAAAGCUAAAAUUUUUAUUAAAGACGAGAAGACCCUAUAAAGCUUUAUAUUUUUAAAAAGAUUUUUAAUAAAAUAAUUUGAAAGAUUUUAUUUAAAAAUAUUUUAUUGGGGUGAUAAAAAAAUUUAAUAAACUUUUUUUUUAUUUUCAUUUAUUUAUGUUAUAAAAUUUAUUUUUAAAAAUAAUUAUUUUUGAUCCUUUAUUUAUGAUUAAAAGUUUAAGUUACUUUAGGGAUAACAGCGUAAUUUUUUUGGAGAGUUCAAAUUUAUAAAAAAGAUUGCGACCUCGAUGUUGGACUAAGAGUAAAUUUUAGGUGUAGAAGUUUAAAAUUUUAAGUCUGUUCGACUUUUUAUUCUUACGUGAUCUGAGUUCAAACCGGUGUAAGCCAGG
RNAcentral lists this ribosomal RNA (500 nucleotides) under Echinocladius martini. Its description in RNAcentral is "partial 16S ribosomal RNA". The stretch from base 343 to 500 matches the Rfam family "Bacterial large subunit ribosomal RNA", at positions 2473 to 2630 of the family's 2925-position model. Lineage: Eukaryota; Metazoa; Arthropoda; Insecta; Diptera; Chironomidae. The record is from RNAcentral.